This 263-nucleotide ribosomal RNA is filed under the name uncultured bacterium. RNAcentral's name for it is "partial 16S ribosomal RNA". It matches the Rfam family "Bacterial small subunit ribosomal RNA", at positions 793 to 1055 of the family's 1533-position model. The record is from RNAcentral.
GUCCACGCCGUAAACGGUGGGCACUAGGUGUGGGGACCAUUCCACGGUUUCUGUGCCGCAGCUAACGCAUUAAGUGCCCCGCCUGGGGAGUACGGCCGCAAGGCUAAAACUCAAAGGAAUUGACGGGGGCCCGCACAAGCGGCGGAGCAUGUGGAUUAAUUCGAUGCAACGCGAAGAACCUUACCUGGGUUUGACAUGCACCAGACGCUGCCGGAGACGGUAGUUCCCUUGUGGUUGGUGUGCAGGUGGUGCAUGGCUGUCGU